RNAcentral lists this ribosomal RNA (1368 nucleotides) under Xenophrys zunhebotoensis. Its description in RNAcentral is "partial 16S ribosomal RNA". It matches the Rfam family "Bacterial large subunit ribosomal RNA", at positions 368 to 2550 of the family's 2925-position model. Lineage: Eukaryota; Metazoa; Chordata; Amphibia; Anura; Megophryidae. The record is from RNAcentral.
GACGCCCUUAAUCCAGCCCAGAUCUCCUAUUUCUAACCCCAUUCUCCACCCUAAAAAUAAAUCAUUCUUAAUCUAAAGUAAAUGUGAUUGAAAAAGAACUUGGAGCCUCAUAAGCAGUACCGCAAGGGAAAGAUGAAAUAGAAAUUAAACAAACAUUUAAGCAACAAAUAGUAGAGACUUCAACUCGUACCUUUUGCAUCAUGGUUUAACUAGUCAAACCAGGCAAAGAGAUCUUUAGUCUGAUUUCCCGAAACUAAGUGAGCUACUCCAAGGCAACCCUAGAGUUAACCCGUCUCUGUAGCAAAAGAGUGGGAUAACCUUCGAGUAGAGGUGAUAUACCUAUCGAACUAAGUGAUAGCUGGUUACUCAAGAAACGAAUUUUAGUUCCUUCUUAAGAGGAUCUAGCAACUCUCUUGUUAAGCAAAUUCAGCCUCUUAAGACCUAUUCAACUAGGGUACAGCCUAAUUGAAAAAGGAUACAACCUAAGAUUCAGGUUAACGUUUAUAAGAUCUAGAGUAAGUUGGCCUAAGAGCAGCCAUCUUUAAAAUAGCGUCAAAGCUUUCUCUACCCUCUUCUUCAAUUCCUUAAUAUCUACCGAACCCGAUACUUUUAUUGAGUCCUUCUAUACUCCUAUAGAAGUGUUUAUGUUAAAACUAGUAACACAGAAUUAUUUCUCUCUAUGUAAGUGUAAAUCAGACUGAAUAAAUCACUGAUAAUUAACCAGUAAUGAAGCUACUGUAGCAACCCCACUAGAAAACCCUACAACCUCACACUGUUAACCUAACACAAGAACAUUGGAUGAAAGAUUAAAAGAUAAGGAAGGAACUCGGCAAAUAUAAGUCCCGCCUGUUUACCAAAAACAUCGCCUUUUGCAAAUUAUAUAAGGUAAUGCCUGCCCAGUGACCAUAGGUUCAACGGCCGCGGUAUCCUGACCGCGCGAAGGUAGCGUAAUCACUUGUCUUUUAAAUAAAGACUAGUAUGAAAGGCUUCACGAGGAUUUGACUGUCUCCCUUAUCCAAUCAGUAAAACUAAUCUCCUCGUGAAGAAGCGGGGAUAAACCCAUUAGACGAGAAGACCCUAUGGAGCUUUAAACUUAAUUUUAAUAAUUGUAAUUACCUCCCCGGAAGAAACAAAUAAAAUUUUUAACUUAAUUUGAGUUUUGGGUUGGGGCGACCAUGGAGAAAAAAAUAUCCUCCCUGAUGAUCUUUAGUCAAGAGCUACAGCUCUAAGUAUUAAGAUACUUAACUUCAAUUGACCCAUUUUGUGAUCAACGAACCAAGUUACCCUAGGGAUAACAGCGCAAUCCAUUUCAAGAGUCCCUAUCGACAAAUGGGUUUACGACCUCGAUGUUGGAUCAGGGUAUCCCAG